This 71-nucleotide transfer RNA is filed under the name Nicotiana sylvestris (wood tobacco). It matches the Rfam family "tRNA". From Rfam's summary of the family: Transfer RNA (tRNA) molecules are approximately 80 nucleotides in length. Their secondary structure includes four short double-helical elements and three loops (D, anti-codon, and T loops). Further hydrogen bonds mediate the characteristic L-shaped molecular structure. tRNAs have two regions of fundamental functional importance: the anti-codon, which is responsible for specific mRNA codon recognition, and the 3' end, to which the tRNAs corresponding amino acid is attached (by aminoacyl-tRNA synthetases). tRNAs cope with the degeneracy of the genetic code in two manners: having more than one tRNA (with a specific anti-codon) for a particular amino acid; and 'wobble' base-pairing, i.e. permitting non-standard base-pairing at the 3rd anti-codon position. RNAcentral also lists the same sequence under 1 other name. The record is from Rfam by way of RNAcentral. Lineage: Eukaryota; Viridiplantae; Streptophyta; Magnoliopsida; Solanales; Solanaceae.
GCAUCAAUGGUCUAGUGGUAGAAUAGUAUCCUGCCAAAUUAUAGAUUUCGGUUCGAUUCCCAAAUGGUGUA